Molecule: long non-coding RNA, 1706 nt
Organism: Ailuropoda melanoleuca (giant panda)
Lineage: Eukaryota; Metazoa; Chordata; Mammalia; Carnivora; Ursidae
Exons: 3
Source: RefSeq, a predicted model, not a curated record
CCUGGUCUGGGGGGUCAGGAGCCCUCAGCUCAGCAGCUUUGGGCACCUAUUUCCUAGAGAUAAGGUCCUAUCUGGGAUAAAAGCUGCAGGAUCUGGGGUGUCUCACACUCACUAGCAAUGUACCAGCUAUGAUGUCUGGGAACCUAAACUCAUCUUUUCACUAGGAUGCCCGAGAGGGUCCACCACAGAGCUAGAGUAAGUAUAAGGGGGUGUUGUCCAUAUCUGGAAGGUCUGUUUAAGACCAGGGUCUGGAGAAGAAGGAGGGUGGUUCUUACCCGUGAUGUAAAGAGUACUGCUCUGGUUGGAAGCCAUGCAGGCCACACGAAGGUGAGGCAGGCAACGGGACACCUUCCUCAGGGCCAGCUGAACUGUGUAGGAGCGUGGCUGGUCCAGCUGGGUUUCAUUCACUACCAGAGAGUAGAUCUUUCCUUCCUCUGGGAGAUGGGGAGAGGCAGACAGUUAUGUGGGGGAAGGGGACUGCCCGAUAUCCAUAUUAACUUCCCAGUAGACUCUCUAAGCCGUAUGGACAAAACAUUUACUGCCCUAGAGUGGGGUCGGAAGAAAAAGGAUAGAAAUGGAAUAAGGAAGGAGUGACCUUGAGUUGUCCAGACUUGAGCCCUUUACCACCAAAAAUAAGUCAGGGAAGUCCUUGAGCAUGAAAGAUGAGUGGAAAAAAGACCUAGCAAUCAGAUUUGGCAGAAUCUAAUUGGACUGUUAGGAAGAAUGAUCCUGAGAACUCGGGGCCCUGCCUGGCAUUAAGAAGUCCAGAAGGUCUCAAGCUUAGGAGUGUGGUCAAAUAAAGGGGACAGGGGCUCAAGGCUGGCUCAGUCAGAAGAGUUAGUGACUCUUGAUCUCGGGGUUGUGAGUUUGAGCCCCACAUUCGGUGUAGAGAUUGCUUAAAUAAAUAAAUAAAAAAAUAAAUAAAACUUAAAUAUAUAAAUAUGACAAGGAGCAAGUGGGGGGAAGUUGGGGGAAUCAAGUGUAGUGUCUAACAGGGAGGUUACAAAGGUUAGAAUUUUGAAAAUUGGCCUUUCGCUAGAACAGUGGUUUCCAAACUGUUUUUUUGCAGCGUGUCCUUUGUUCAUAUGAAACACACAGAAUCUUCGACUAGGAGGCAGACAAAAAGCAAAGCUCUUGGGUUUGAGAGCGGGAUGAGGGGGCAUGCAGAAACCCACGUGAGAGCCCUCCCCCUCCCCCGCAGCACGUCCUGAAGAAUCUAUAGAAAGCAGUUUGCAACCACUGCUCUGGGCCACACCUGUGAGAAGCAGCAGAGCCCGCUGGGUCUCCUGACCAACCAGCACAAUCUGUUUGAAGCUCAUGGAGUGGUGGAAGGUCAUCUUGAAGACCCGCUGCCCACUGGACUGCAGAUAGACCUCGACACAGUCACAGGCCCGGCUGCCAGUUGUGCCCACCACGCCUGGCUGCUCCCGAGUGGCCAAUACGUAGAGCCCAGGGCACAUGCUUCUAAGGGAGCGCUUCUUCAAUCCAACCUUGCAUCAGGGACAUCAAGGGGAAUAUAAUAUAUAGAAAAGCAGCAGAAAGAAGAGUGAAAAAGAAUGACCGAGAAAGGGCCGGACCCCAGAACCCUGCUCUCGUAGGCGAGGACUGAGCCUGUGACAGAUGCGUCUCCACACGCCCUCGGCAUCGCACACUUCAUGGAAGUAGUGGCAGGUCUGGCCCAGAGCCAUGACAUCUCUGACUGGGAG